Molecule: non-coding RNA, 28 nt
Filed under: Rattus norvegicus (Norway rat)
Lineage: Eukaryota; Metazoa; Chordata; Mammalia; Rodentia; Muridae
Source: RNAcentral
UACAUGGCAGAGGUUAUGUUUUCUUAAU